Cynoglossus semilaevis (tongue sole) is the source of this 1404-nucleotide long non-coding RNA. RefSeq lists it as uncharacterized. The record is from RefSeq and is a predicted model, not a curated record. NCBI's taxonomy places the organism in Eukaryota, Metazoa, Chordata, Actinopteri, Pleuronectiformes, Cynoglossidae. The transcript has 3 exons.
UCGACAUAUCGGACAUCGGCUGAAAGUUAAUAUUGGACAUACCUAAAUAUUAUAAUAAAAUUAAAUCAAAGUGAAUUAUAUAAAAUAUUUAUAUCUACAUAAUAUAUGGAAUAAAUAAAAGAUAAGUGACGCAUUUAUGGCGGCUAGGUCGUAAUUCUGAUAUUGUGGGCUCUACUGCAGCUCCAUCUGUUCCAUGCUGUAGAACAUUCUCCAGCCUGUCCACGUCACACAGUGAGGCGGCCAGUGACCUGUCAUCUCCUCCAUGGUCUCAGUGGCUCCAAGAACAACAGAACAGUGUGACGUCCUGUACAGUGGGGUCGUUUUAACCAUGGGACAAAUGUGUUCAAACUCUAUAGGCUGCAGAUCUCUACUGACAUGGACACUGUGUAAAAAAAAUAUAACCAGAGAACAGAGAUUUUUUUUUUGGCCUGGAAAACUGUUCCUUUUUGGAUAGUUUUUUUUUUUCAUUUUUGUCCAUCUGUUGUUAAUUUGAUUUGUACUAAAAUAAAAGUUCAUUCAGGAUCAUUUCUGUAUUUCAUUCAGACUCUGUGAUAUCAGAGAAUGAUCUGGUUUGACUUUACAGAUGUUUGUGACCAAGUGAUACAUAUGGUGUGAAUACAGCGUCGUGAAAGGAAUCACUAUGGUAGUACAUGAUGAUACUGUGUUUAUAUAAAGCUAACAUAUGUGUCAGGCCUGUCUGCCUCUCUGCCCUCCCCUCUGUCUCUCCAGGGGUAAUUAGUUUCAUCACCCCCACCUGUGACCCCUGGUUCUCUGAUCAGUCUCACUGGUCUCACCCGGUGGCCUACAUACAGUGUCUCUCUCCCUCACUCUGUCUUUGUUGGGUCCUGGGUUUUACUGUUGUUUUCUGGUCCUGCUGUGUAUCUCCCUGUGUUCCUUCUGUCUGUGUUCCUGCCUGGCCCGCGUUCCCUGCAGUAACCUCCCUUUUCUAAUUUUUUUUUUUUUUUGUGGAUUUGCCUGACUGACUGUUCUGGAAUUUGGACUUUAAAGAACUGCAACUGAUUCCUCUGUUCUACUGCAUUUGGAUCCUGCCUGCACCACCGUACCCAACAGCCACGCUGUCAAUAAAUGCUGGUGUGAUGGAGUGGUGGGCAGGGGUUCAGUGACAUACGCCUCAGUGGGAGGGGCUUCCUGGGACUUCACCUCAUCUGUGGCGUUGUGCAGAGUCACCACCUUUGAGUGCAGUGACAGACAGAAAACAGCAGGUUGAACAGACUCCUCCCCCUUUUCAGAGCUGCUGACUACAGAACAGGAGCUUGGUGGUGAUGGAGUGCAGCUUCAGGAGAUCCAUGCCAUAGAAGGACCCCUCCAGGAGCUCCAGGAUGGUGGAGAGCUAAAACAGUCAAGUGGAACCCGUCAACAGGGAGGUUUCAGAACGAUAUAUAC